This is a long non-coding RNA of Polistes canadensis, 629 nucleotides long. RefSeq lists it as uncharacterized. The record is from RefSeq and is a predicted model, not a curated record. The transcript is spliced from 3 exons. Lineage: Eukaryota; Metazoa; Arthropoda; Insecta; Hymenoptera; Vespidae.
GCAGUUCUGAUUUUUGGUGUGUUCGUAAACUUCGAGAAAGAAACUAUUAUUUUUCUUCUGUGGGGUUUUAAGUUUUAUUGAAGGAUUGCGAAAAAUGAUUAAUCGAGGAAUAAAAUAAUAAAAUCAAAAGAUUGAGAUUUAAAAAUCCUAAAAGACCGAUUAUUCAUUCAUUGUGAUGAACCUCAAUGCGCUUCUCUGGCCAUCUACAGAAUUUUCAGUGAAGUAAAAUUUCGAAUCAUACGAGAAGCCGCGAAAAUUUUCGCAAAAUAUUUGAAGCAACUUUUAAAGUUUUCAAAAACAUUCGAAUGUAUCUCCCCAACAUAAAAAAAGGGAAAGAAAUGAUAGAGUUGAAAUCUUCACCAAAGGAGUCAUACGAUACGCAACACAAUCUACGUAAGAGAGAACACAGUCAUCGACUCUUGCAACGAUAUUUCUCACCACCGAUGUUAUGGAACAAUUCUCCUCCCCUUUCUUCAAUCUUCAUUCUACGUUUCUUCGAACAUAUAAAUACUUACUUACGCAUAUACAGGGACGAUAAGAUUAGGUGAAAGGGGAAGAGAUAGUCGAAAAAGGUAGAGUUGUAAGAAUAAAAGAAAUAUAAGAAGAAGAAAAAAGAAAAAGAAGAAGAA